Molecule: ribosomal RNA, 468 nt
Filed under: uncultured bacterium
Lineage: Bacteria
Description: partial 16S ribosomal RNA
Rfam family: Bacterial small subunit ribosomal RNA
Source: RNAcentral
GACGAACGCUGGCGGCGUGCUUAACACAUGCAAGUCGAACGGAAAGGCCCUGCUUUUGUGGGGUGCUCGAGUGGCGAACGGGUGAGUAACACGUGAGUAACCUGCCCUUGACUUUGGGAUAACUUCAGGAAACUGGGGCUAAUACCGGAUAGGAGCUCCUGCUGCAUGGUGGGGGUUGGAAAGUUUCGGCGGUUGGGGAUGGACUCGCGGCUUAUCAGCUUGUUGGUGGGGUAGUGGCUUACCAAGGCUUUGACGGGUAGCCGGCCUGAGAGGGUGGCCGGGCACAUGGGGACUGAGGGACGGCGCAGACUGCAACGGGAGGCAGCAGUGGGGAAUAUUGCACAGUGGGGGGGAGCCUGAUGCAACGACGCCGCGUGCGGAAUGACGGCUUUUGAGUUAUGAACCGCUUUCGACUGAGACGAAGCGUGAGUGACGGUAAUGGGUAAAGAAGCACCGGCUAACUACGUG